This 29-nucleotide non-coding RNA is filed under the name Mus musculus (house mouse). Lineage: Eukaryota; Metazoa; Chordata; Mammalia; Rodentia; Muridae. The record is from RNAcentral.
UAGGUAAAUGAAUUUAAUCACUUGGGGGA